This 73-nucleotide transfer RNA is filed under the name Anaerolineae bacterium. RNAcentral's name for it is "tRNA-His". It matches the Rfam family "tRNA". From Rfam's summary of the family: Transfer RNA (tRNA) molecules are approximately 80 nucleotides in length. Their secondary structure includes four short double-helical elements and three loops (D, anti-codon, and T loops). Further hydrogen bonds mediate the characteristic L-shaped molecular structure. tRNAs have two regions of fundamental functional importance: the anti-codon, which is responsible for specific mRNA codon recognition, and the 3' end, to which the tRNAs corresponding amino acid is attached (by aminoacyl-tRNA synthetases). tRNAs cope with the degeneracy of the genetic code in two manners: having more than one tRNA (with a specific anti-codon) for a particular amino acid; and 'wobble' base-pairing, i.e. permitting non-standard base-pairing at the 3rd anti-codon position. The record is from RNAcentral. Lineage: Bacteria; Bacillati; Chloroflexota; Anaerolineae.
GUGGCUGUGGCCUAAUGGUUAAGGCUCCUGACUGUGACUCAGGCAACUGUGGGUUCGAGUCCCACCAGUCACC